UAGGGAAUAUUGGACAAUGGGGGCAACCCUGAUCCAGCCAUGCCGCGUGAGUGAAGAAGGCCCUCGGGUUGUAAAGCUCUUUUGUCCGGAAAGAAAAGCCUCGGGUUAAUACCCCGGGGUUCUGACGGUACCGGAAGAAUAAGCACCGGCUAACUUCGUGCCAGCAGCCGCGGUAAUACGAAGGGUGCAAGCGUUACUCGGAAUUACUGGGCGUAAAGCGUGCGUAGGUGGUUGUUUAAGUCUGAUGUGAAAGCCCUGGGCUCAACCUGGGAAUGGCAGUGGAAACUGGGCAGCUAGAGUGCGGUAGAGGGUAGUGGAAUUCCCGGUGUAGCAGUGAAAUGCGUAGAGAUCGGGAGGAACAUCUGUGGCGAAGGCGACUGCCUGGACCAGCACUGACACUGAGGCACGAAAGCGUGGGGAGCAAACA
Molecule: ribosomal RNA, 427 nt
Filed under: uncultured bacterium
Lineage: Bacteria
Description: bacterial SSU rRNA
Rfam family: Bacterial small subunit ribosomal RNA
Source: RNAcentral